RNAcentral lists this ribosomal RNA (428 nucleotides) under uncultured prokaryote. Its description in RNAcentral is "bacterial SSU rRNA". It matches the Rfam family "Bacterial small subunit ribosomal RNA", at positions 355 to 776 of the family's 1533-position model. RNAcentral also lists the same sequence under 1 other name. The record is from RNAcentral.
UCGAGAAUUUUUCACAAUGGGCGAAAGCCUGAUGGAGCGACGCCGCGUGGGGGAUGAAUGGCUUCGGCCCGUAAACCCCUGUCAUUCGCGAUCAACCCUUGCUGUUUAAGAGAUGGCAAGCUGAUAGUAGCGGAAGAGGAAGGGACGGCUAACUCUGUGCCAGCAGCCGCGGUAAUACAGAGGUCCCAAGCGUUGUUCGGAUUCACUGGGCGUAAAGGGUGCGUAGGUGGUGGGGUAAGUCGGAUGUGAAAUCUCGGAGCUCAACUCCGAAAUGGCAUUGGAAACUGCCCUGCUUGAGGGUCGGAGGGGGGACUGGAAUUCUCGGUGUAGCAGUGAAAUGCGUAGAUAUCGAGAGGAACACCAGUGGCGAAGGCGAGUCCCUGGACGACUCCUGACACUGAGGCACGAAAGCUAGGGGAGCAAACAGG